GGCCUCCUGGUGCUUACCACAGGCUGUGUUCUCACAUUGACAGUAUAGAAAGAGGAGGCAAAGUGAACCUACCCCAUAAACACCUCAACCCAGGCCCUGGGCCUCAUCUGUAUUGUGAGUGGGGAGACAUAG
Molecule: small nucleolar RNA, 132 nt
Filed under: Castor canadensis (American beaver)
Lineage: Eukaryota; Metazoa; Chordata; Mammalia; Rodentia; Castoridae
Description: Small nucleolar RNA SNORA51 (ENSCCNG00000029741.1)
Rfam family: Small nucleolar RNA SNORA51
About the family: ACA51 is a member of the H/ACA class of snoRNA that guide the sites of modification of uridines to pseudouridines.
Source: Rfam by way of RNAcentral